This is a non-coding RNA of Colossoma macropomum (tambaqui), 508 nucleotides long. The record is from the annotation of a RefSeq genome assembly. Lineage: Eukaryota; Metazoa; Chordata; Actinopteri; Characiformes; Serrasalmidae.
AUGAUGUUUCUGUGCUCUCUGACUGUCUUUAUGAUCAUAAUAGAUGACUGCUCUGCACAGUCAAUAGCACCACUGGAGAACAAAAUGAAGGUUCAUGCUCUUGAAGAUGAGACAGUUACUCUCUCCUGCAAGCAUAAUGAAAGUCGUACUCCUGAUAGUCUGCAGUGGUAUCGUCAGUAUCCUGGAUCCAGACCAGAGUAUUUGCUGAUGAUAUUGCCAGCAGCAAAAAUUGUGAGCCAUGCAACCCCACCGUUUCCAAGACUGAAUGCUACAGAACAUGACAAAACAGUGAAUCUGACAAUCUCCUCUGCUGCAGUAUCAGACUCUGCACUCUACUACUGUGCCAUGAAGCCCACAGUGACAGGAAACCCAGCUACACUGUACAAAAACCCAUUCUAGGAUAAUGCUUUGCAUAGUUACCUUUCAGAUUCUUUUCCUUCCUUAACACAGGCACAGUGUUGGAACUCCAUCAGAAUUAUGCAGGUUUGCUCUAGAUUUUUUGUAUUUA